GUAGGUGGCAAGCGUUGUCCGGAAUUAUUGGGCGUAAAGCGCGCGCAGGCGGUUCUUUAAGUCUGAUGUGAAAGCCCACGGCUCAACCGUGGAGGGUCAUUGGAAACUGGAGAACUUGAGUACAGAAGAGGAAAGCGGAAUUCCACGUGUAGCGGUGAAAUGCGUAGAGAUGUGGAGGAACACCAGUGGCGAAGGCGGCUUUCUGGUCUGUAACCGACGCUGAGGCGCGAAAGCGUGGGGAGCAAACAGGAUUAGAUACCCUGGUAGUCCACGCCGUAAACGAUGAGUGCUAAGUGUUAGGGGGUUUCCGCCCCCCUUAGUGCUGCAGCUAACGCAUUAAGCACUCCGCCUGGGAGUACGGCCGCAAGGCUG
This 372-nucleotide ribosomal RNA is filed under the name uncultured organism. RNAcentral's name for it is "partial 16S ribosomal RNA". It matches the Rfam family "Bacterial small subunit ribosomal RNA", at positions 527 to 896 of the family's 1533-position model. The record is from RNAcentral.